UUCGGCAAACUAUGACAUAUAGUGUGCAUGCAGUUAUAUGACUAGAGACAAAAUCAUAGAAAAUAAGUACUCUCAGUUUGAAGUCUGACUGGAAAACUAGUCAUUCAAAUAAAGAAACACUCUGCAGCAAACUUAUGCUAGUUAACAUAAACUAGGGAAUAAUGAAUCUUUUGCAGGCCACGUCAAAACGCAAGUCCAUCUCGGACCUUAUCAAGCCCGACAUAUCCCAACAGACCAACUAAAC
RNAcentral lists this long non-coding RNA (244 nucleotides) under Nicotiana benthamiana. RNAcentral's name for it is "long non-coding RNA (NBEN_LNC022759)". Lineage: Eukaryota; Viridiplantae; Streptophyta; Magnoliopsida; Solanales; Solanaceae. The record is from RNAcentral.